AUGCACGCUGGCGGCGUGCCUCAUACAUGCAAGUCGAGCGAACAGACGAGGAGCUUGCUCCUCUGACGUUAGCGGCGGACGGGUGAGUAACACGUGGAUAACCUACCUAUAAGACUGGGAUAACUUCGGGAAACCGGAGCUAAUACCGGACAAUAUAUUGAACCGCAUGGUUCAAUAGUGAAAGACGGUUUUGCUGUCACUUAUAGAUGGAUCCGCGCCGCAUUAGCUAGUUGGUAAGGUAACGGCUUACCAAGGCGACGAUGCGUAGCCGACCUGAGAGGGUGAUCGGCCACACUGGAACUGAGACACGGUCCAGACUCCUACGGGAGGCAGCAGUAGGGAAUCUUCCGCAAUGGGCGAAAGCCUGACGGAGCAACGCCGCGUGAGUGAUGAAGGUCUUCGGAUCGUAAAACUCUGUUAUUAGGGAAGAACAAAUGUGUAAGUAACUAUGCACGUCUUGACGGUACCUAAUCAGAAAGCCACGGCUAACUACGUG
RNAcentral lists this ribosomal RNA (496 nucleotides) under uncultured bacterium. RNAcentral's name for it is "partial 16S ribosomal RNA". It matches the Rfam family "Bacterial small subunit ribosomal RNA", at positions 29 to 507 of the family's 1533-position model. The record is from RNAcentral.